GAUCUGCCAAUUUAUGAAUUUCAUUGUAUAAGAUGUGUAACUAGAUGCCAUUGAAAUUACUUUUAAACAGUAGAUGUUUUGUACAUGAACACUGCCUAUCUGCACCUUUUUUAAAAACAGGUCUGGGCUCAGGAGCCCAAAUACCAUUGUUAGCUGGAACAUGUUCUUCAGUUUGUCCUAUCCACCAGUCUCCCCUGAGGUCACCUGUUCAGCUUUGUUACUCCUGCUCCCUCACCAGCUUUCAUAGAAACCAUAUGCUAUGUAUGAAUCAGGGACAGCAAUCCCACACAUUGCGUCCUUUGAGUACCCAAAGUCCCACUUUUUACUUUGCCAUGCCUUCACAUCAGCAGUAAUAUUUAUCAGCAAAUGUGAGAUUUUCAAAGAUCCAAUUCUAUGUGCUCCUUUCCCAAAGAGCCUUAGGCAGGGCUAUAGCAUACAUAAAUAUUAAGUAAAGGGCGUAGUUUUUUAAAUGUCAUCCAUUGAUAGUUGACACAUGUCUGAGAUACUUUUUAUUUUGGAGGAGGUAUUAUUUAAUUGGGAAUUCCAACAGCUACAUGAUAGUGAAAUGAGAAGAUUUGCAUCCAUUUUAUUUUGUUUCUGAUGAUUUUUAUGACUAAGGAUAAGAUACUUCCUUGUUCCAAUGCAGAUGUUGCCCACUUCUGUAAAUGGAUGUGGGGUGUCACCUGCUACUUGCAUGUCUGCAUGUUCUGCUUGACACUAACAUCGUACUUGGCAGGUGGCAGAAAGUCAAUACUGAAGUUAAGGUCUUGUGUUCUAGCAGCAGAGCUGAAGAUCCUUUGUGUGCCACCUUCUGCAAUCCAUGCUGCUCUCUUCAUGUUCCUUAUUGACUUCCUGGUGAUGAGCAUCAUGGUCUCCUGGUCUUUGAGAAUGGCCAAGCAUUGCUCUGUGAAUGUGGAAGGGAGACACUGCCCUCAAACACUUCUGUGCAGCUGGGAAUGCAGGCUUCUGCUUCACCUUGAAGGAAGCAUUCAUGAAUCCUUUCCAGAAGACAUGAGAAGAGAGAGUGAGCCUCUGGUAACAUGCAGGUUCCUUGCAUUGCCCAUGGGCUAGAAGAGAGAAGAGUUGCUUCAUGAGAUUUGAUCCCCUUUUUCCUGAAGAGUUCCACACGGAGGUGAGUCCCCAGCAUGUUUAGACACCAUUUCAGACCCCUUUGUUGACGGAAAUGAAUCACACCCCCUGAUGAUGUGGAAGAGCUAAAGAUGUGUUUGCUAUGAAUUUUCUAUUUCAUUUCUCAGGGCCUGAGUCAAGCCAGCCAUUGUGCUGUCAGCGCAUGAGCUGCUGGUCAAAUGUGNNNNNNNNNNNNNNNNNNNNNNNNNNNNNNNNNNNNNNNNNNNNNNNNNNNNNNNNNNNNNNNNNNNNNNNNNNNNNNNNNNNNNNNNNNNNNNNNNNNNGGUCUUGCUUUAUGAAAACACCACCCUGAUUCAGUGAGCCAGAGGCAGCCUGCAGUCCCUGUUUUCCUGUAAAGGCAGAUUGCUGUGGAUGGCCUCUGGCCUCGUCAUGCAGCCCUGCUCAGAGUAGGGGAUUGAGGGUCCAGGCAGAUCCCUAGUUCCUUUUGACCUUUAUUGCCAUUGGGCUGCCCUAGGGUCCUUGGACUCUACCUGGUCUUCUGGCCUGGAUCAGGGGAUGUGAGGUUUGGAAUCCCCCCUCUGUGGCAGGAUCCCAGCCCCCCCCCAGCCACUUGAGGGCAGCACAUCCUUCCCUAGUUGUGUUGGAGAGGGAGAAUUCUCCCACCCAUCCUCAUCCUUGCUCAUUCUGCAUUUUGUAGCUUGAUACCUGAGGACUUUAUUCAUUGACUUAGUGGUUAGUCAUGAUGGUUGCUAAGACUAAGUGACUCUUUCAAGGUAGGGCUAGAGCAUUGAUCUUUGUAAGUGAUUGCAUGGGACUUUCUCAUGGAAAUUGUGACUGAUGUUGUUGUAUGAGGGGGGAGAAAUUGGCUUUUGGAAGUCGUCUCAUGAAUAGGAGACUCAGAAAUGGACAUCACAACUAAUGACAUCAUCGCCUUGAUGGAUCAAACAGGACAUGGAACCCUGGUAACCAGACACACACUUCACUAAGGAAGCCAUCCCAGCUUACUUUGUUUCAGACUCUGGAGUGAGAAGGAUGUUCUCCUGUGGCCCCCAGGAGUCUCCAGGGUAGAUUGUGCAGCCUUUCCUUUGUGGGGGAAGACUGGGAGAGGAUUCAUGUUAGAUGCUAGAGUCUCUGGCGAUGAUCCCAGAGAAACUCAAGAAUGAGUAGCACAGGGCAGGUAGGCCCAGCAGGCCCUUUUGUCUGAAUGGCCCAGGACUCAUUCUGUGUGUGUGUGUGUGUGUGUGUGUAAAAUUAUGUGAACUGUCCCAUUGUGCUUUUACUUCACAGUAUUGGAAUAAGUCCUUUUCCUGUUUGCUACUAUUUCCCAUUUGAACCCAUCAUUUUUGAUACCAGUGCAAAAAUGAGCUAGAUCAGAACAUGGAUGAGCCCUGCAGGGUAGAGACUCUUGAAGCUUAUAAGCAGAACCAGCUCAUGAAUCAGCUUGUGCACAUCGUUUGUGGCAGGAACUCAAAUUUUGGCAGCACCUUUGGGUCCAUCUACUCGGAUUUCAUCCCCACCCAGCAGGUCCUGGACCUGCUGUUCUCAAG
Molecule: long non-coding RNA, 2636 nt
Filed under: Ictidomys tridecemlineatus (thirteen-lined ground squirrel)
Lineage: Eukaryota; Metazoa; Chordata; Mammalia; Rodentia; Sciuridae
Description: lncRNA (ENSSTOG00000032605.1)
Source: RNAcentral